GUCUGGAAUUGGAAAAAUUGCAUAUGGGUGUAGAUUGGAAGCCAGCUAGGGCUGUUUUUCAAAAUCUGAACUGAUACCGCUCAACGAUAAUUGACGUUGAGCGCUACUUAUGCAGAUUGUGGAUUUUUGUGUUUUUCUGUGUGCAGGUGAGUCUGAGGGGCCCUGUUUUCCCUCACCGCUGAUAAACAAUGUGUUUGGACAAGGUUUU
This 208-nucleotide long non-coding RNA is filed under the name Vigna radiata. RNAcentral describes it as "long non-coding RNA (VRAD_LNC016858)". The record is from RNAcentral. Lineage: Eukaryota; Viridiplantae; Streptophyta; Magnoliopsida; Fabales; Fabaceae.